GAGCACGUAGGUGGGUUUGUAAGUCGGGUGUGAAAGCCCCUGGCUCAACCAGGGAACUGCAUUUGAUACUGUGAGGCUUGAGGACAGGAGGGGAGAGUGGAACUUUUGGUGGAGCGGUGAAAUGCGUAGAUAUCAGAAGGAACGCCGGCGGCGAAAGCGAUUCUUUGGCCUAUAACUGACCCUGAGUGUGCGAAAGCUAGGGGAGCAAACGGGAUUAGAUACCCCGGUAGUCCUAGCCGUAAACGAUGGGCACUAAGUAGAGGGGUUU
Molecule: ribosomal RNA, 268 nt
Filed under: uncultured bacterium
Lineage: Bacteria
Description: partial large subunit ribosomal RNA
Rfam family: Bacterial small subunit ribosomal RNA
Source: RNAcentral